GGCUGUGUUUACUGUUGCAUGCAGCAAUCAAUGGGGAGCACUUGGACCACAUAUAAAUAGAUUUCAAAAAUUUAUUUUAUAAAUAUGUAUUUUAUUGUCGCAUCUAGAGCCCUGUUAAAGAGUGUGCAAUUUUUUCCAAUAUAAAAUAUGUCCUAUCCCAUGCAGCCUAAUGUGCAGCGACUGCUAUUGAUUAGCUCUUUCAACAAACAGCAUAAAAGUCACAAAAAGAAAAGCUCAACCAGAAUCAAAAAGUGGCGUGAUUUUGUAGAUUUUUUUAUUGAAAGCUUCAUCAAAAGAAAAAUAAACAGAAGUUUAAACCUAACAUCCACUGGUCUACAGACACUCUCAGGAUCACAGCUCGAGCACAUGGGAGGCAAUACGCUGUUUCCUGACCAGUCCAAUGAACGAACGAACAUUCGUCAUUCAAUGACCUCAACCGUGACAGCCAAUCAGAUAUACAGAUAAAAAUGCAUGGCUUGGACCUCACAUCCAAUGAAUGGGAGCACAGAGUUUCUAGCCAGCGAAAACCUUCGAGUGGAUGAAAGGUGUUUAGCUUACUAAAUUACAGUUGGGAUGAGAACUCCAUCCUACAGUUAGAAAAACCUUCAGCUUAAUCGGACACAUUUAUUCACUCUUUAAUGAAAAGCAUGAAGGCUGCAGAGUGUAUAACGCUCACGACGUCAACACACACCUCUCGUAUGAGGCACCAGCCCGAAUUUCCUCUCCAUUCCCAAGGCCCUGACCACUUAAAUACUGAAUGCUUGAUAGCAGCGAGCACAUGAUAAAAAGAACUCUCCAAAAAGACAGUGGAUAACAGACACAAAACACAGUGACUUUUUUUUGUUUAAACAGCUGAAAAUGAAAAGCUAGCUUGUUGUCCUUACUGAAGCAGUGCUGUCUUGCUCAUUACGAACUUGGCAUCGCUUUAAUCCAAAGUGUCAUAUCUCACUGCAAUGGUCAUCACAGAGGAUAAAACACACCAACUUUGCUUUAAUACUGUCCCCUAGUGGCUAAUUGAGAUCAUUACGUAGUUGUAUAGAGGUCAUGUUGUAGGAAUACAGGGGAAAAAAACCAAAGCUUUCAUGAUGAUGUUCAUAGUCUCUCGUUGGCCCUUUAAUGACAGAUUAAUUUAUUCCCAGUGCACCUCGACAACUCUAAUUACCCGACUGUAAAACUAGGAGGCGUAUUUAUGAGCCAUAUGACCAUGAAGGCAGCAAAGACAGUUCAUAAUUCACCAUGUGUAUUGAAACUCUUUGCGGACGUGUUAAUAUAGCGCUUUCCUAUCAGAUUACAUCAAAAUAACAUCUACUUCAUGGUAAAUAAAGGACAGCAGCCUUGUUUUUAUGUUAAAGUAUAGUCUGUCCAAAAAUGACAAUUCUGUCAUUUAGGCUACUCAUGUUGUUCCAAACAUGGCUUACUUUCUUCUGCGGAAAUGCGGAAACCGAAAAUGUUUGGUUAACAUUGUUCUUCAUUUUGACAGAAUUGUUAUUUUUGGAUGGACUACGUUUCCCCUUUCUACUCUUCUGUUUGCUAGUUUCCCCCCCUCUGGAAUGGGCAGCCUGAUAAAAAGAAAGCAGAUUUCAGAUAUGGAAGGUCGAAAUGUCACACGUGAUAUUUCUAACCCUAAUUCCGAGCUGUCAAGGCACCUGAGCAACCGCCGAAUCCCACGAUGAUGGGAACCGUAGGCUCUGUCCCAAAUGGAGUAUAUUUGAUGUGUAUUCACGAUGGUCAUCCUGCAUCCAUGAGACCUUAAAGGGUUACUCCACCCCAAAAUGAAAAUGUUUUAAUUAAUCACUUACCCCCAAGUCAUUCCAAACCCAUAAAAGCUUCGUUCGUCUUCGGAACACAAAUUAAGAUAUUUUGGAUGAAAACCGGGAGGCUUGUGACUGUCCCAUUGACUGCCUAGUAAAUUACACUGUCAAGGUCCAGAAAAGUAUGAAAGACAUCAGAAUAGUCCAUCUGCCAUCAGUGGU
RNAcentral lists this long non-coding RNA (1973 nucleotides) under Sinocyclocheilus anshuiensis. Its description in RNAcentral is "lncRNA (ENSSANG00000010102.1)". Lineage: Eukaryota; Metazoa; Chordata; Actinopteri; Cypriniformes; Cyprinidae. The record is from RNAcentral.